CGAGGAAGGUUUUUGGAUCGUAAACCCCUUUUGUCAAGGAAGAAGCUCUGACGGUACUUGACGAAUAAGCCUCGGCUAACUCCGUGCCAGCAGCCGCGGUAAUACGGAGGAGGCAAGCGUUAUCCGGAAUGAUUGGGCGUAAAGCGUCUGUAGGUGGCCAGCUAAGUCUGCUGUUAAAGAUCACAGCUCAACUGUGGGAAGGCAGUGGAAACUGGCAAGCUAGAGGUUGGUAGGGGUAAGGGAAUUCCCGGUGUAGCGGUGAAAUGCGUAGAUAUCGGGAAGAACACCGGUGGCGAAAGCGCUUUACUGGGCCAGACCUGACACUGAAGGACGAAAGCUAGGGGAGCGAAAGGGAUUAGAUACCCCUGUAGUCAAGGGCGA
RNAcentral lists this ribosomal RNA (381 nucleotides) under uncultured cyanobacterium. RNAcentral's name for it is "bacterial SSU rRNA". It matches the Rfam family "Bacterial small subunit ribosomal RNA", at positions 406 to 803 of the family's 1533-position model. The record is from RNAcentral. Lineage: Bacteria; Bacillati; Cyanobacteriota.